UUCAUUUUAUCAUAUUUCACUAGACCUCCAGUUGAAGGGUUAAGAGUUGUUUGAGUUCCAUCACCAUCAGUGCCCCAUUCUAUGGGAUGCUCGGUUCUCAUAUGUCUACUGGGCGUCCCAGUCCCCCUUAAAUUUUCACCAGUCAAAUGUUUAAAAUCACCGUUAUAAAUUUUGCAUUUAACUUUAUCAAUACCCUCUAUUUUUUCAAAAAAAUUCUAAACCUUACUUCUUUUUCUAAGAUUAGUAGUCGGAGCCACAGGUGAUCUACUCCUAGUGCCACGACCAUCACCCCUUGUAGCAACUCCAACACUACCAGUUCCAGCACUAGAAGGUGUAGUUGCUAUCUCAUCUUCCGUUCAUAUUUCAUUAUCUUCUAUUCCAAAAUCUUCUUAUAAUUGUCAGAAUCUAUAUCUAUAUUAUCACUAGGCGAUGCUUCAGAAACAUGUGUAAAUGAUAAUGUGUUAUUACUAUUGCUACCAGAUGCUGAAGGACUACCUCUUUUUUUAUUUCCCCUACCAGUAACUCUUUUACACGCU
Molecule: long non-coding RNA, 536 nt
Filed under: Nicotiana benthamiana
Lineage: Eukaryota; Viridiplantae; Streptophyta; Magnoliopsida; Solanales; Solanaceae
Description: long non-coding RNA (NBEN_LNC002382)
Source: RNAcentral